This 320-nucleotide small nuclear RNA is filed under the name Myotis davidii. RNAcentral's name for it is "7SK RNA". It matches the Rfam family "7SK RNA". From Rfam's summary of the family: 7SK was discovered as an abundant small nuclear RNA in the mid-70s but a possible function has only recently been suggested. The record is from Rfam by way of RNAcentral. Lineage: Eukaryota; Metazoa; Chordata; Mammalia; Chiroptera; Vespertilionidae.
GGAUGUGAGGGCGAUCUGGCUGCGACAUCUGUCACCCCAUUGAUCGCCAGGGUUGAUUCGGCUGAUCUGGCUGGCUGGGCGGGUGUCCCCCUCCUCCCUCACCGAUCCAUGUGCGUCCCUCCCGAGGCUGUGCGCGCUCGGUCGAAGAGGACGACCUUCCCCGCCCGUGAGGAGAGGACCGGUCUUCGGUCAAGGGUAUAGAGUGGCUGCGCCCCCCUGCUAGAACCUCCAAACAAGCUCUCAAAUGCAAGGGUUAAUAUUUUUGUUAUCCUUUUAUUUUCUUGUUAUGGUUCUCCUAUACAUAGAAGAUAGAACUUAAA